CACAAAGUCGACAAGAAGCAGUGCUGAUUCGCCUUCGUAUUUUGUGUUACAAACUUAUGACACACUAUGGAAAUGUACCAUUUCUUUAUAAAUAUUCUGAUAUCCGUCGCAUUUGCGCACGUUACGUUCGGCGCUCCAACAAAAAAUAGUAAUGAAUUUAGUCAAUAUACAUUAUGCGCCACUGAUGAAUGUAUAAACGCUGCUUCCAAGAUUUUAGCCAAUCUUAGUCGUACAAUUGAUUCUUGUGACAAUUUUUAUCAAUUUGUCUGUGGCAAAUACGCACAUAAUAAUCAAGUCAAUGACUCGUUUCCAUUAAUUAAGUCAUUUGCAGAGAUCCAACAAAAAAACAAAAAUUCAUCUCAGAGAAAUCUUAGAAGAACUUCCUAAGCCAGGCGAUACUAUGUCCCUGCUUAAAGCAAAAGUUAUAUUUGCACAAUGCGUAGAUAACGAAAACGGAACAGAUAAGGAAAAUAUAUACAGAAUCUAUACAGAAAUUGAAAAAAAAGAUCCCUAUUUGUGGCUAUUGGGUGUAUCUCGUUCCGAAUGGAAAAAAAGUAAUUUGACGUAGCAAGAUGUAAGCACUACCUUGCUUGAAAAUGGGUUUGAUAAUGGCCUUUUCGAAAUAACAGUGUUACCGGAUAUCAGAAUGUCCAACAGUAACGUUACUCUUAUUGAUGGACCUUUACUCUCUUUAUCACUAAACCACAAGUUUAAGUUUUUUAAUUUCUCAUUUCCCAAAUGGACUGAAUAUCUAAUGAUAUAUGAUAAAUUCGACAUUGCAUUUAUUGCGAAUAAUUUAGCACAAGAGAAUAGUG
This is a long non-coding RNA of Pseudomyrmex gracilis, 815 nucleotides long. RefSeq lists it as uncharacterized. Lineage: Eukaryota; Metazoa; Arthropoda; Insecta; Hymenoptera; Formicidae. The transcript has 6 exons. The record is from RefSeq and is a predicted model, not a curated record.